UACGUAGGUGGCGAGUGUUGUCCGGAAUUACUGGGUGUAAAGGGAGCGUAGGCGGGAGUGCAAGUUGAAUGUUAAAUCUAUCGGCUCAACCGAUAAGCCGCGUUCAAAACUGCAUUUCUUGAGUGAAGUAGAGGUUGGCGGAAUUCCUAGUGUAGCGGUGAAAUGCGUAGAUAUUAGGAGGAACACCAGUGGCGAAGGCGGCCAACUGGGCUUUACUGACGCUGAGGCUCGAAAGCGUGGGGAGCAAACAGGAUUAGAUACCCUGGUAGUCCCU
Molecule: ribosomal RNA, 274 nt
Filed under: uncultured prokaryote
Description: partial 16S ribosomal RNA
Rfam family: Bacterial small subunit ribosomal RNA
Source: RNAcentral